This 497-nucleotide ribosomal RNA is filed under the name uncultured bacterium. RNAcentral describes it as "partial 16S ribosomal RNA". It matches the Rfam family "Bacterial small subunit ribosomal RNA", at positions 28 to 507 of the family's 1533-position model. The record is from RNAcentral.
GACGAACGCUGGCGGCGUGCCUAAUACAUGCAAGUAGAACGCUGAGGAGAGGAGCUUGCUCUUCUUGGAUGAGUUGCGAACGGGUGAGUAACGCGUAGGUAACCUGCCUUGUAGCGGGGGAUAACUAUUGGAAACGAUAGCUAAUACCGCAUAACAAUGGAUGACACAUGUCAUUUAUUUGAAAGGGGCAAUUGCUCCACUACAAGAUGGACCUGCGUUGUAUUAGCUAGUAGGUGAGGUAACGGCUCACCUAGGCGACGAUACAUAGCCGACCUGAGAGGGUGGUCGGCCACACUGGGACUUGGACACGGCCCAGACUCCUACGGGAGGCAGCAGUAGGGAAUCUUCGGCAAUGGGGGCAACCCUGACCGGGCAACGCCGCGUGAGUGAAGAAGGUUUUCGGAUCGUAAAGCUCUGUUGUAAGUCAAGAACGAGUGUGAGAGUGGAAAGUUCACACUGUGACGGUAGCUUACCAGAAAGGGACGGCUAACUACGUG